UUUUUUUUUUUUUUUUUUUUUUUCCAGAUUUUCCUCCAAUUAUUUUUUCUACCGUUUCGGCUGCUCCAACCGUUCCAGCCGCGACAGGCCCGUUCUGUGGUUCCAUCUCGCCCGUCCCGCCGCUAUCCCGGUGUUUCAACGCGUCACAGUGCAAAAAUCGGUUUGGUUAGGGAUUCCGGAACGGAGGGCACCGUUCCCGUUCCGUUCCGGCGAACCCUGGGACCCACCGUUGGAAUAAUUGGAUUUCAGAUGUACACGGGAGUUGGUGAUUUCCGGCCGAGGUCGCCGAUGGUGGCCGUAAUCUGGAGUUCAGCUUUUGGCUCUUCAAAGAAUUAAAUGAACGGAGGUCUUAACGGUGGAUUAUUGAUGAUAAAAGGUACCGUUACAAAGCUCGAGAAGUUAGCUUCCCAUUGAUGGUGGUGCUCGGCGGUUUUAUUCGGCGGUGGUCGCCGAAAUUCGGUGUGAAAUUCAGCCUGCUCGCCGGAACCCUAAGGGAAAUAAAAUCUGCUACCGCACCUGUUUCAGAGCCAAAAUCGAAGGGUUUGGAGUGUGAAUUUGGGAAUAAUUCCUUCUCAAAACUCGUAGAGGACCUCGAAAACUAAGAGUAUGUCAUUCGUUGUUGUGUACCUAAGAAAAUUUUGGUCUAUGGUGCUGCUUUUGGUGCUAACUCGAGAACACAAAACAUUACAGGUGGGAACUGAACGAGAAAAUUGAUUUCAAUGGGAAGAAACUUCUACUAAAAAAGGAGCAAGGAGCAGGUUUUUUGUUUGACGAUUUGACAUGUAUAAAUUUGAACAAAUCAACACUCUUACAUCAGAUGGAGCUGAUACAGAAAAUUAUAUUAGAUUGCCGGGGCCCGGGUGCUGCUCACGAUUAUACGAGAUUUAUUUGUCGUGCAUCCAGGUAACUAGGUUGGUGGUCAAUAGAUGAAGGGAGUCAGGAGGAGCAGGUUCGGCUAUAUUGUGCAUUGGGAUCUAGGUAGUGUUUGAUGAAGU
Non-coding RNA from Erythranthe guttata (spotted monkey flower), 995 nucleotides. The record is from RefSeq and is a predicted model, not a curated record. Lineage: Eukaryota; Viridiplantae; Streptophyta; Magnoliopsida; Lamiales; Phrymaceae.